Molecule: long non-coding RNA, 8058 nt
Filed under: Lactuca sativa (garden lettuce)
Lineage: Eukaryota; Viridiplantae; Streptophyta; Magnoliopsida; Asterales; Asteraceae
Description: long non-coding RNA (LSAT_LNC004757)
Source: RNAcentral
UUCUUCGUUUGACGUCCGUUCUCGCCUAACUUUUUAUCGCUUCGAUACCAACAAUGAGAUCUUCGAUUCUCAUUUAGAUUGCUUCGGCUAAAAACCGCUCGAUCUCAAAUCGAGUAUUUCGGGCUGCACACCGCUAAGCCGGAACUUCGAUAAAUCAUAACUUCCUCAUACGAAGUCAGAUUUGGGCGUUCUAUAUAUAUUCGGAAACCUCGUUUCAACUACUACAACAUUAACCAAAGAUAUUAAGUUUAUUUUACACUUAAAUUUUGACGCUUAUUUUUAUUCUUAAUUAAUCAAACCACAUAAUUAAGCAAUUAAGCACAAAACACAUAAUACUCAAAUAAUACAAUCUUAUUAUUUCAAAACGGGUUACAAAGGUUAACCUAGACUAUUACAUUGCUAAAAAUGGCAAGCCCGAAACACAGGCGUUACAAUUCUCUCCACCUUAGAAUGAUUCCGUCCCCGGAAUCACACAUCAACAAACAAAUGCGGAUAGCGACUCAACAUGUCACUCUCCGUCUCCCAGGUGAGAUUCGGCCCAUUCGUGUGUUUCCAUCGGACAAGCACUAACCCAACCAUUUUGCGUCGCAACUUCUUAGUCUUUCGGUCAACAAUUGCCUCUGGUUCUUCAAUCAACCUUUUGUUCUCAUCAAUUCUCAAUUCAGAAAUUGGAAUUAUAUCGGGAACUUCUCCCGUGAACUUCCUCAAAUAACACACAUGAAAGGUGUUGUGAAUUCCAUUCAGUUCUUCGGGUAAUUCGAGCUUGUAAGCUUGGUUCCCAAUCCUCUGAAGGACUUUAAACGGUCCAAUAAACCUUGGACUCAACUUUCCCCUUUUACCAAAUCUUAUAAGUCCCUUCCACGGCGAGACUUUAAGCAAAACCGAAUCUCCAACCUCAAAAGUCAUCGGUCUUCGCUUCUUGUCAGCAUAGCUCUUUUGACGAUCUUGAGCUGCUAACAUUCUUUCCCUAAUUAUUUUCAACUUUUCAGCAGUUUGAUGAACCAUCUCCGGUCCCAUAAACUGCUUUUCCCCAGCCUCAAGCCAACAAGACGGCGUACGACACUUCUGUCCAUACAAAGCUUGAUAAGGUGCCAUCUUAAUGCUCGAGUGAAAACUAUUAUUAUAGGAAAAUUCUACCAACGGUAAAUGUUCAUCCCAAUUACCUAGGAAUUCCAAGGUACAUGCUCUCAGCAUAUCUUCAAGUGUUUGUAUUGUUCUUUCACUCUGACCAUCAGUCUGCGGAUGGUAAGCUGUGCUUAAACAUAACUUGGUACCCAUUUCCUCUUGUAGACUUUUCCAAAACCUUGAGGUGAAACGGCUAUCACGAUCCGAUACAAUCGUUAACGGAACACCGUGAAGCCUCACAAUUUCCUUCACGUAAGAAUUCGCAAGCUUUUCCAUAGACCAUUUCUCCCUGGCCGCUAUGAAAUGCGCACUCUUAGUGAAUCGAUCAACGACCACCCAAAUCAUGUCGUGACCAUUCUUUGUUCUGGGCAGUUUAGUGACAAAAUCCAUAGCAAUGUCUUCCCACUUACCCAUAGGCACAGGCAAAGGUUCUAAACUCCCGUACGGUUUCUGAUGUUGUGUCUUGACUCUCGCACAAGUCACACACUCGGCCACAUACUUUGCAACAUCAAGCUUCAUCGUCGGCCACCAGUAGUAGGGUUUCAGGUCCCUAUACAUUUUAGUGCUACCCGGAUGAAUCGAGUACAUGGUCUUGUGAGCUUCUUCCAUCAGAAGAUCCCUAAUUCCUCCUGACUUAGGUACCCAAAUACGAUCUUGGAAUACCUUCAGUCCAUGACCGUUAGUACCAAACACCAACGUUUUACCCAAACGUUCCUCCUUUCGGUCAUUUUUCUCAGAAGCUUCCUCUUGAGCUUUCUUUAUACUUUCCACAAUGGUCGAGACAACUUCAAUUCUCAACGCUCUUGGCCUCUUCCUUUCAAGAUUGACCUUCCGACUGAGAGCAUCAGCAACAACAUUAGCUUUACCGGGGUGGUAAAGUAUCUCGCAGUCGUAGUCUUUAAGUAAUUCUAGCCAGCGUCGUUGCCUCAUAUUCAAUUCUUUCUGAUUAAAGAGGUAUUGGAGACUCUUAUGAUCAGUGAAAAGUUUGCACUUCGUGCCAUAGAGGUAAUGCCUCCAUAUUUUCAGAGCGAAAACUACCGCUGCCAACUCCAAAUCAUGAGUCGGGUAAUUCUUUUCAUGCUCUUUCAGCUGUCGAGACGCAUAUGCUAUCACCUUUUCUCUUUGGGUCAAAACACAACCCAAUCCAACACCAGACGCAUCGCUAUAAACAGCGAAGUCUUCAACUCCAUCGGGUAGAGAAAGUAUCGGUGCCUCGCAUAGCUUCUUCUUUAACUUCUCGAAUGCUUCUUUAUGCUUCUCACUCCAAGCAUAAGUAGCUCCUUUGUGGGUCAAAGCUGUUAAUGGAGUAGCAAUCGAAGAAAAGCCUUGGAUAAACCUUCGGUAAUAUCCGGCUAAUCCUAAAAAGCUUCGAAUCUCCGUGGGACUUUUCGGUUGUUCCCACUUCGUCACAGCUUCGAUCUUCGCUGGAUCAACCAUUAUCCCUUCUUGGUUGACCACGUGACCCAAGAAUUGGACUUCACGAAUCCAAAAAUCACAUUUGGAGAACUUCGCAUAAAGCUUCUCCUUCUUCAAAACUUCUAACACUUCUCGCAAGUGUCUGCCAUGCUCCUCCUGGCUUUUCGAGUAGAUCAGAAUGUCGUCUAUGAACACUAUCACGGAUUUAUCAAGGAAAGGAUUACAAACCCUAUUCAUCAAAUCCAUGAACGCUGCUGGAGCAUUGGUUAGUCCAAACGACAUAACCAAGAACUCGUAGUGUCCAUAUCUAGUUCUGAAUGCAGUCUUCUCGAUAUCUUGCUCUCUUACUUUCAGCUGAUGAUAUCCUGACCUAAGAUCGAUCUUCGAGAAAUAGCUCGAACCUUGCAAUUGAUCAAACAGGUCAUCAAUCCUCGGCAACGGAUAUCUAUUCUUUAUUGUUGCCUUGUUCAGCUCUCUGUAAUCGAUGCACAUUCUCAUACUUCCAUCUUUCUUCUUUACAAAUAACACCGGAGCUCCCCAGGGCGAUGAACUAGGUCUAAUGAAACCUUUGUCCAAUAACUCCUGAAGUUGCAUCAUUAGCUCCUUCAUCUCCGUCGGUGCUAAUCGAUAAGGUGCUUUUGCUAUUGGCGUGGUUCCUGGUAACAAGUCUAUUCUGAACUCCACUUGUCUAUCAGGUGGUAAUCCAGGAAGAUCCUCGGGAAAUACUUCCGGAUAAUCACACACCACUGGAAUGCUCUGCAUCACCUUCUUUUCUUUCUUAGCAUCAAUCACGAAUGCUAAAUAUGAUGUACAUCCCUUGGUCAAACACUUUCUGGCUUUCAUUAGAGAAAUGAUUCCAGAAUUCACUCUGCGUUUGUCCCCAUACACCAUAAACGAAUCUUUUCCAGGCGGGUUUACUUUAACUAUCUUCUUCUUGCACAAAAUUUCGGCAUCAUUGGCGCUAAGCCAAUCCAUUCCCAAGACGAUGUCGAAACCAUUUAGUUCGAUAGGCAAUAAUUCCUCGAGAAACUUAUUCCCAUUAAGGUCGAUCAAGACGUUUUUCAUACGAUGGCUAACAGGUACAAACUUGCCACUAGCUACUUCGACUAAUAAAGCAUUAUUUAGUCUAUCAACAGGCAAAGCUAGCUUUCUACCAAACUCAUGCGAAAUAAAGGAGUAGUUGGCUCCAGAAUCAAACAAUAUAUGAGCAGGUAAUUCGUUUACGAGAAAGGUACCUGAAGCGACAUCAGCUUCAUCUUUCGCAGCCUCAAGUGUCAUCUGGAAGGCUCUCGCCUUCGGCUUUGGUGGAAUGUUGGGCCUAGCUGCCUCCUUCUUCUUCGGACAGUCUUUCAAAAUAUGCCCCUCUUCAUUACAACCAAAACACAUCCUUUUGUUGUUCGGACAUUCAUUGGCAAAAUGUCCAACCUUUCCACACUUGUAGCAGGUCACAUCCUCGCUACAUUUCCCAAAGUGCUUUUUCUUACACUUAUCACACCACUUUGCUUCGCCUCCUUUUCCUCCAAACUUUUUCGAAUCAGAUUUCGAAAAUUUGCUCUUCUUACUGGAACCAGAUGUUCCUUCAAACUUCCUUUUCUCACCAACCUCAACCUUGACGGUGGUUCUCCCCUUGAUCAUGUUCUCCACAGACUUGGCAGCCCAGAUAGCUGCCUCUAGAGUAAGUGCCUGACGUACCGGCACCUCGUACUCCCAUGGAAGUCCCUUCGCAUACCGAUCCACCUUUGUCAGCUCGUCUGGAACGAUACGCAAGGCAAACUCCAUCUUAUCGGUGAAGUUAUUGGUGUAUUCAUCAACUGACAUGCUACCCUUCGUCAAUGUCAAAAACUUAUUCUCCAACUCCAACAGAUUUUGAGCCGAGCAGAACUUGCGCUUGAACUGCACCAAGAACUCUGCCCAUGACAAUUGCAGUGGCUCAUUAGGGCUUAAGGUCUUCCCUAGAGUGUUCCACCAACGAACGGCUCCACCUCGGAAUUGUCGCACGGCAUAGAUAGUCUGCAACUUACCUCUGCAGCCACAUGUCAUAAAGGCUAACUCCAUUUCGGAGAUCCAAUCCAUAACCCCAAUCGGAUCCUCCUUUCCAUUGAAGGUCGAUGGUUUGCAAGUCAAAAAGUCCUUGUACUUGCAUCCCAUUCCAUCAUUCCUUCCUUCAUGGUUAUCUUGCCUAACUAUCGGUGGGUUGGCUGGACCAACAGACCCACUGAAGUUUCCACCUUCCGAGUGCCCUUCAUUUAAUUCAGGCUCUUCCACACGAAUCGACAGUUCUUCACGAUUUUGUUGAAGCAACCGUCUAGUUUCAUCCAUCUGACGAUCCAACAUCGUCUGAAUCAUCAAUUGCACACCAGCCAUGGUUAUUGGCUCAGGUGCUGCUGCUACGACAGGUAUUGGCUCAAUCACUGGUGGUUGAUUCCUGUUUUCGUCAGCAUUUCCAACUCCACUUCUUGUUCUCACCAUUUUGAUCUACACCCCGAAUAAGGUGAAAUUAGAUCCUCAAUCAUGAUAGAUAUUCAAAUCAUCCUUAUCACUCCGAAACGUUUACAUGCUAGUUCUAAUAUCGUAGACGUACGCUUAGAAUCCUACACACAUAAGGUUUCUAGAUCCGGUCGGCAACAGACCAUAGAUCCGAACAAAUAAUAUCAUAUAUGGCAACAUAUAACAUUUAGCACAUAAAGCAUUUUAGGCAACUUUCCUAAAAUAAACUAGUGCUCGUGUCUAAAACACAACAGACACACAUCUCAAAACUUCACUUAGCAUUCUAAGUUUAAGUCUAGAAAUCCUACAAAUUCCUAGUUCGCUUAAACUAAUGCUCUGAUACCAACUGUGACAUCCCCAAAAUCUCGGCCAGAAAAGACCGAUUUUCAUUUAUGCUUUUAAAUAUUUUCAGAGUAAAUCCUUUUGAUUUGAAAGAGUUGCGGAAUUUGUUCCCAAAAACAAAACAUGAUAAAACAUUGUUUACCGAAGCAUUUCAUAAAAGAAAUGUAUUUUCAUUAUAAUCAAAACUCGGGGUGUCAUGUUCCGAUACAGACCAAUAAGCAUAAACGAAUACAUUACAAGUCAUAUAACAAAUAUAAACAUAUGCAGACUUGUAAACAAAACAACUUGAUGGUUCAUCCAUCUCAUGCCCUUCCGCCACUACCUGUAAUACAAUUUAAAACUGAGUGGGUCAGGCUUGGGAGCCUGGUGAGCAUAUAGGGUUUUCAACCCACAAUAAAUAUCAUAUUUAAUUUUCACCAACCAACAAUAACCCAAUUACCCAUUCCCGUUAUUCUCACUUUAAUGUCCCUAAAACAACUAACAUAAGGGACCUAGUCUAAGAAUAUUUCAUCGGGGCGACAACACAUGCUUCGGGGGUACCUCAGCAAUAUAAGUCAAAUAAGGCAACCAUGAGGGGGAUGGAGUACAGCGAAUGAACACCCAAGUUCAUUAACACCUACAGGUGGCGAACCUGCUAAUGUUUCCACAAGACUGUCUAGAAUAGCCAGUGGUCGUCAUCUAAACUCCGCUAGAUGACUCAAUCAAACAACAACGAGGCCUCUCAUCUGUUUAUUACACACCAACUGUCUACCCAUGUUCUACCCAACAUAUUAGUAGAUAAAAAUAUACAUUUGUAUACAUAGUUUAAAGAAAACCUGUAUAGCAUGCUUUAAUCAACACAUAUAUCACAUAACAGAUGAGGCACACACACACAUAACACAUAUCUCAUAAAGAAAUAAGCAGAUCUAUAAGAUAGAAGAGAGUGAAUACUCAUUCACACAUAACACAACCAAAUAUAUACACAUAGCACGUAUUUUUAUAUAAAAUACUUCGUAUUAUUGUAUUAGAAGAAAUAACUACACACUCACUUGAUCAGAAGAUGAUCGGACAGCACUACGGCUUAUAGAAGUAGUAAUCCACAGCAGAUCUGGAAGAUCUUCUCGAAAAUCGAACUUCUCGCGGGCAGAGCUUCGACUCGGGAACCGCACUUUUCGGGAUCUUCGGGAUCUCGGGACUUGCCUCGGGGCUAGAGUAUGAUACCGGGACUUCGGGGUAGCUUCGGGGGUUUUUGCACAGAGCUUCGACACGAAAACGAGAGGGAAUUGGCAAAAAUACCCGGAACCCUCGCAUCCUAUUUAUAGGAGGCUGGAGCCUCGGAGUACGCGGGGCGUACAGGCGUACGCGGGGCGUACUGGCCUCCGAAAUCGUCACUGCAUGCGUCAUCCGAAGUGUCGACACUCUUCGGAGUACGCGGGGCGUACGUCGGAUCGGACUGGUGACUCCCCCUUCGGAUAAUGCGGGAUUUUUCAAUUAAAAAUAAAUACAAUUUAUUUAUCAAACUUCGGAAAUUCAUAUAUUCUUCAUACGAACUUCGUUUUCGACGUUCUUUAUAUCCACGCGAAGGUGAGACUACGCUCUACAACUUUCGUUUAGACUCCGUCGGCUAAUUUUCACUUUAUUUUUAUUAUUUAUUUUUAAUAGGCCGCGACAGAAAAACUUCGUUAUAAAUUCAUAACUUCUUCGUUUGACGUCCGUUCUCACCUAACUUUUUAUCGCUUCGAUACCAACAACGAGACCUUCAAUCCUCGUUUAGAAUGCUUCGGCUAAAAACCGCUCGAUCUCAAAUCGAGUAUUUCAGGCUGCAUACCGCUAAGUCGAAACUUCGAUAAAUCAUAACUUCCUCAUACGAAGUCAGAUUUGGGCGUUCUAUAUAUAUUUGGUAACCUCGUUUCAACUACUACAACAUUAACCAAAGAUAUUAAGUUCAUUUUACACUUAAAUUUUGACGCUUAUUUUUAUUCUUAAUUAAUCAGACCACAUAAUUAAGCAAUUAAGCACAAAACACAUAAUACUCAAAUAAUACAUUCUUAUUAUUUCAAAACGGGUUACAAAGGUUAACCUAGACUAUUACAUUGCUAAAAAUGGCAAGCCCGGAAACACAGGCGUUACAACACAACACGGUAAGCAUAAAUGCUUAGUGAGUUCCUUAAAAUACCACAUACACACAUAUGCCGCUCAGGGCUAUAAUUCUCCAAGACCUUCCGGUCAAUGUGUCUCGGGGGACUUCCGUCCCAUAAUCCUGGUAGACCUUCUGGUCCCACUUCUCUGACCUUCCGGUCUGUAUCAUGUUGACCUUCCGGCGCAUACACUGUUGACCUUCCGGUCCAUAUCAUAGUAUUCAUAACGUAACAUAGCACAUACAUAUCACAUAGCAACAUAUCACAUACUUAUCAUUGCACAUAAGACCUUCCGGUCACACAUAAUUACCACUCUAGGUAAAGUAUAGUGAGAAGACUCACCUCGUAUGAUGUUGGAUAACCUUUCGUGCUUGAUAAGUUGACCUAGCCAUCAAAAUGAUAACACCUCUAAUCAAUACUUUCACUUGUCCUCAUCUCUAAAGAAUGGGUAGAAGACCAUUCUACCCUUCACUGACCUUUCUUGAAUCAGCUUGACCAAAACCCUAAGGUCAACUAAAGUCAACUCUAGUCAAUGGGAAAACUUUGACCAGACUCGUCGAGUGCACUCAGG